RNAcentral lists this ribosomal RNA (253 nucleotides) under uncultured bacterium. RNAcentral's name for it is "partial 16S ribosomal RNA". It matches the Rfam family "Bacterial small subunit ribosomal RNA", at positions 524 to 776 of the family's 1533-position model. The record is from RNAcentral.
UACAGAGGGUGCGAGCGUUGUUCGGAAUUACUGGGCGUAAAGGGCGCGUAGGCGGCACUGCAAGUCAGUUGUGAAAUCUCCGGGCUUAACCCGGAAAGGUCAACUGAUACUGCAGGGCUAGAGUGCAGAAGGGGCAACUGGAAUUCUCGGUGUAGCGGUGAAAUGCGUAGAUAUCGAGAGGAACACCUGCGGCGAAGGCGGGUUGCUGGGCUGACACUGACGCUGAGGCGCGAAAGCGUGGGGAGCAAACGGG